GCGCUCCCUUGGGCAGCGCUUACAGUGACAUUGGACGGAUGCAGAGAUUAGCUUGACCCCCACACGAGGACGACACGCAAACUCAUGAAGUCAUCUAUACUUUU
This 104-nucleotide small nuclear RNA is filed under the name Ursus thibetanus thibetanus. The record is from RNAcentral. Lineage: Eukaryota; Metazoa; Chordata; Mammalia; Carnivora; Ursidae.